CAUUCCCUCUCAGAUUCCAACCACGAUACUGAAAAAACCAAAGCCCAGUCUAGCCAUUUAAAGAGAACACAUGGAAGUAAACCAAGAACCCAGCCAAUAUCCCCAGAAAUUGACAAGAUGAUCCUAAAAUUUAUCUAGAAACACACGGGACACAGAACAGCCAAGAUAAUUUUGAAAAAUAAGAACGAAGGACUCAUACUUCUUGAUUUCAAAACUGACUACAAAGCUACAGUAAUUAACACUGUGUGAGACUGGCAUAAGGAUAUGCAUAUAGAUUGAUAAAAUAAAACUGAGAAGCCCUUGAGAAAUAAACCUUAUAUAUAUGGUCAA
This 330-nucleotide long non-coding RNA is filed under the name Homo sapiens (human). Its description in RNAcentral is "HSALNT0310812". The record is from RNAcentral. Lineage: Eukaryota; Metazoa; Chordata; Mammalia; Primates; Hominidae.